UAGGCUUCAAAAGAGGCACACACAGGAAGGAUAAUAGCAUUUGGAAAGUUGAAAGACAUACUGCAUUAGCUUCUUUUAGUGCUCUAAUCACAGCUACUGUAUCUUGAUCUGCAUCUAGCAAGACCAAUACUGCAGUCUCUUGAUCCAUUUGUUUCAAAGUCGAGACAGAUCUUUUGGCGUCCCUCUUGAUCUUCUUGCUGAAAGAG
RNAcentral lists this unclassified non-coding RNA (206 nucleotides) under Hevea brasiliensis (rubber tree). Lineage: Eukaryota; Viridiplantae; Streptophyta; Magnoliopsida; Malpighiales; Euphorbiaceae. The record is from RNAcentral.